This 200-nucleotide ribosomal RNA is filed under the name uncultured bacterium. RNAcentral's name for it is "partial 16S ribosomal RNA". It matches the Rfam family "Bacterial small subunit ribosomal RNA", at positions 328 to 539 of the family's 1533-position model. The record is from RNAcentral.
ACGCUCGACACCUACGGGAGGCAGCAGUGGGGAAUAUUGGGCAAUGGGCGAAAGCCUGACCCAGCAACGCCGCGUGAGGGAAGAAGGUUUUCGGAUUGUAAACCUCUGUCCUUGGUGACGAAGGAAGUGACGGUAGCCAAGGAGGAAGCCCCGGCUAACUACGUGCCACAGCCGCGGUAAUCUGAGCGGGCUGGCAAGGC